Molecule: transfer RNA, 70 nt
Filed under: Pseudocuneopsis capitata
Lineage: Eukaryota; Metazoa; Mollusca; Bivalvia; Unionida; Unionidae
Description: tRNA-Ser
Source: RNAcentral
AGAGAAGUGAGCGACUUUAUCUAGGGCUUCUAACUUUAGAAAAAGAGGUUUAACUCCUUUUGCUUCUCUA